GUUCUCCAAUCAAGCAGGACUACCCGCUGAACUUAAGCAUAUCAAUAAGCGGAGGAAAAGAAACUAACAAGGAUUCCCCUAGUAACGGCGAGUGAAGUGGGAAAAGCUCAACUUUGUAAUCUGGCUCUUUUAGAGUCCGAGUUGUAGUCUAGAGAAGUGAUAUCCGCAUCGGACCUUAAACAAGGUUGUUGGAAUGCAGCGUCGUAGAGGGUGAGAAUCCCGUACAUGUUGAGGACUCCCGUAUGCAUUGUGAUACAUUUUCAAAGAGUCGAGUUGUUUGGGAAUGCAGCUCAAAUUGGGUGGUAAAUUCCAUCUAAAGCUAAAUAUUGGCGAGAGACCGAUAGCGAACAAGUACCGUGA
Molecule: ribosomal RNA, 360 nt
Filed under: Crittendenia physciiphila
Lineage: Eukaryota; Fungi; Basidiomycota; Agaricostilbomycetes; Agaricostilbales; Crittendeniaceae
Description: Crittendenia sp. AMM-2022g partial large subunit ribosomal RNA
Rfam family: Eukaryotic large subunit ribosomal RNA
Source: RNAcentral